GACGAACGCUGGCGGCGUGCUUAACACAUGCAAGUCGAACGGUAAGGCCCUGGCUUUGUGUCGUGCUCGAGUGGCGAACGGGCGAGUAACACGUGAGUAACCUGCCCUUUUCUUUGGGAUAACUUCUGGAAACUGGUGCUAAUACCGGAUAGUCACUCCUCAUCCCUGGUGGUGGUUUGAAAGUGUCGUCGGUUGGGUAUGGACGCGCGGCUUACCAGCUUGUUGGUGGGGUGGUGGCUUACUAAGGCUUGGAUGGGUAGCCGGCCUGAGAGGGUGAUCGGGCGCAUUGGGACAGAGUUGCGGCCGAGGCUGCAGUGGGGAGCAUUGGUGGAGGGUAGAGCGCAAGAUGCGGCGGCGUGGUGGAGCGGCUGCGGGUGCGGGAGGACGGCCUUCGGGUUGUAAACGGAUUAGGCCUGUGACGGGGCGUGAUGAAGGUAGAUGGGGAAAAAGGCACGGGUAAACUAGGG
RNAcentral lists this ribosomal RNA (467 nucleotides) under uncultured bacterium. RNAcentral describes it as "partial 16S ribosomal RNA". It matches the Rfam family "Bacterial small subunit ribosomal RNA", at positions 28 to 507 of the family's 1533-position model. The record is from RNAcentral.